GUUCAUGCAAGACGACCAAAGACUUUGUAUGAUCUGGAGGCAUUUUGCUAAAACGAAUGGGCAGCUAUACCACCUGCAAGAAUUAGGGGCCUCAUAGACAACUAUUAGAAAAGACUGCACAGUGUCAUUGAUGCUACACAGUAUUAGGGAACUUAGGGUAUGCAGACUUUUGAACAGGGAUCAUUACAUUUUUAUUUUUUUUUUACCAUGUUUUGUUUUAUGAUUGUG
Molecule: non-coding RNA, 228 nt
Organism: Pelobates cultripes (western spadefoot toad)
Lineage: Eukaryota; Metazoa; Chordata; Amphibia; Anura; Pelobatidae
Source: the annotation of a GenBank genome assembly